Molecule: ribosomal RNA, 285 nt
Filed under: Typhlomys cinereus (Soft-furred tree mouse)
Lineage: Eukaryota; Metazoa; Chordata; Mammalia; Rodentia; Platacanthomyidae
Description: 12S ribosomal RNA
Rfam family: Bacterial small subunit ribosomal RNA
Source: RNAcentral
AUAAAAACGUUAGGUCAAGGUGUAACUAAUGAAGUGGAAAGUAAUGGGCUACAUUUUCUUCACAAAGAACAUAACGAAAUUUAUUAUGAAAUUUAAUAAACAAAGGAGGAUUUAGUAGUAAACUGAGAAUAGAGUGCUCAGUUGAAUAGAGCAAUGAAGCACGCACACACCGCCCGUCACCCUCCUCAAAUAAAUAAAAUGACAAAAUAACAUAUCAUAUUCAAAGACAUAAAUUUUUAGAGGAGAUAAGUCGUAACAAGGUAAGCAUACUGGAAAGUGUGCUUG